UUAGGAGAGUUCAAACUUUAAAAGAUAAAAGGAAGAAAUAUGGCUGAAAUUUUCAAGUUUAUUUAUAUUAUGAUCAUCUUUAUUACUAUAUUUCUAGUGCCAUCCAAUUAUGGGAGUAAUAUAUUUAUUUAUAUUUAUAACUUCUUUUAUUACUUUGUACACAAUAUUUAUCAAAUAUUAUCUAAAUUUUUAAUCUUAUUUUUUAAUAUAGGAGGAGAUACUAGAUGUGUACGAGAUACUGAUUGUCAUUUAUUUGGGUGCUAUCCACCAAAGAUAAUGAAGUGUGACAAUAGACGAUGUAGAUGUACUAGUAUGUUCUCUUCCAUUGAUUAUGUUCACAUAUAAUUCUAGGUUUAGUUUCACAUCCAAGAGAGUAUACAAGUGCUCUUUAAGAAUAUUUUAGAAGCUGCGAUAUAGUUAUUGUAUAUACAUCUCAUCAUUUUUUUUCGUUUUAAUUUUAUUAGUUGGGUAAUAUAUUAUGAUAAUUCAAAAUAAAUAUUGCAUAACUAAGAUGAAUAUGACUUUGUAAGGUUAUAAUUUAUCGUAAGAUUUAUAUGUGAUUUAAAAUGAAUAUGAUUUAGAAGACUCAUUUUUGUAAGGAUUUUGUAAAGUUAUAAAUUUUCAUAAGAUUUAUGUGAAUAUGAUUAGGAUAUGUAAAUUCGCUUCAUUGUUAGUGUUUUUGUUAUUAUAGUUGUUUGACAUGCUUUUUAUAGUUAACAUUUAUGUUCGAUUCACUUGUUUUCGGUUGCUUUCGAAGGACUUUUAGCUUUUGCACAUAUCUCAUUUGAAAAGAUUAUUUCAUUUUAAUAAGUAGGAAAUAUUUAAUUAAAUCAUAAUCCUUGUAGAAAAAGAAGUUAUUAGAUUUGGUUUAAUUUAAAAAGAUUUGAUUUGCUGAUUAUUGGAUUUGGUUAAUUCUCUAUUGCUCCCAAUUUGGUGUUUUUGGUUUAAUUCUAUUUUAUACAUAAGAGAUGUCUCUUUUUAAUUGAAGACUCACCUUUUGAAAAAAUAACUUAAGUGUGUCUUAAUUAAUUUUCUCUGAGUCUUUGUAUUUUGUUUAGUGUGUAAAACUCUAUCCUAAAGAAUCUUUAAUAUUUGGAGAGAUAUAGUAUUUGAUCAGUAAUUGUGAUAUUUCUUUUCAAACCACAUAUAAUUGGUUCUUGCAAAUAAUUGGAAGAGUGUUUGAGUGAAACUGAGGGGUAUCAGAUUUAUGAUAGUAUUAGGAAAAGGAACUGAUUUAGGACUGUUUAUAUGACACUAUUGUAUACUAUUGAUUAUUUAAAUUAAUGAGUUUCCUUUCAUUUGGGCUACAACCCUCUAGACGUAGGUGAAGUUACACCAAUCUGGGUAACCAUUUAUUUGUUACUUAUUUGUAGUUUGUUUUAAUUAUUCAUCGUUUAAUUUAGAUAAUUUUGUAUCCCACAUUAUUACAUCAUUGUGUGAGACAUGUUGGUUAUGACCGAACCGAAUAUCAAUUGGAAUCAGAACAUGAACCCUAUUCUAAUUUGCUUUGUUCUAAUGUAUCUAUUUUUUUUAAAGAUGGAGUAACUACUAAGGGAUCAGUUGUCACCACUUAGAGUUACCCAAACCCUAGGCCCAAAAGGCCUAUAUAAAUAAUGCUCUCUCGAUGGAGAAAAGGAUAGAUCUUAAGUCAUAAAGAUCGCACCCCAUUUACGCUUAUACCUAAGAACACAAUUCAUCUAUAGAUGUAUAUUGGAUCUUGUUGUCUAUGUCUAGGACACUUAAAAUCAGAUUACAAGUCAAAAAUAUGAUUUUUCAUGAAAAACGUGUCUAUGGGUCGAUACAUUAUGGCUAUGUAUCGUUACAUACUAAAUGAGUUUUAAAGAAAGUAAAGUAUCAAGACAUAUGAGGUAUGGGUUGAUAUAUAAUGCAAAUGAGUCUACUCAUUCGUAUUUGGAGUCGGCUUCAACUGAAAGUUUUUUUAAAGCAAAUGGCCCUUCCUUUAAUGUAUUGAUACAUUGUUGUUGUGGGUCGAUACAUAACAGGUAUGAGUCGACUCUCCCAUGUUUGGAGUCGACUCCUACUGAAGAAUUUUUUCAAGCAAACCUUCCUACCUUCAAUGUAUUGACUCCUGGAGUCCAUGUAUCGACUCUCAUGCCUUAUGUGUUGACUCAUUAGAAUUUGGAGUCAAUACAUUCUAUUCUAUUCUACAUAACUUGUAAUUCUUGACUAAAAGUAUGUUUUGUCUAUUUUUCACACACACACACACACACACUAUGCAUUCAUGCAUAAUCUCUCAUUCAUCGAAACCAAGAACAUACAAAUAAUUUUCUCUUCAUCUUUAACCUUUUUCUUCAUACAGUCAACAAUUAAACAUAAUCAUUUUUGUUGAGUGUCAUCUAGACUAGAUUGAUAAGGUCCAAAUUAGGAUUGUUGUAAUCAUAAUUGGGUGGAGUAUUCUUUUGUGGUUUCUUUAAUAAAAUUGGUCAUGGUUUUUCCUCAAAGAACAAGGAUUUAUUUAAGAGGUAUGUGCAAUAUUUUGCAACGAGGAUUCAGCUGAGAGAAAGCUUUAAAGAACAUGAUUCUAUCAAAGGAGUAGCGAUAACCGAAGGAUCGACUUGGAAGUCUUUGGUCACAUGAUCUUGCUUAAGAUCAAGGGGAGAGAAGAAGUUAGAAUCAACAUCAAACAUAGGGUUUAGGGGGUUUGUAUUGCUACUUUUUCUCUUGUAUGCAACUCUUGCAAGGGUUAAUUACAUAUCUCAAUUCUAUUUGGAAUUGAGAGCAGACAUACUCAUAUUGAGGAUAAUUGGGGAACUGCCUAAACAAAUCUUGGUGAUCUCUCUCUCUCUCUCUCUCUCUCUCUCUUAUAUAUAUAUAUAUAUUAUUUAUUUAUUUAUAAUACUCUUAGUGUGCAAUUUGAUAAACUGAAUUUUUUGGUUCUAUUGAAGAAAUUCAAAUUGUUUCGUAAAGAUAAAUUGCAAUCUAAACAAUUCCAAUUGGUUUUUCAUAACUUCAACGCAAAGGAAAAUGAGUUUGGUGAUUAUUGCACACCAAGUGUUUGAUAAAUUGUUUGUGUCAAUUUUUAUUUCCUAAUUCAUUGGAAAUUGACUACAAAGUAUGAUAUUGUUUAGACGAUUAUUUUGUAGAACAUAUUGAUUUGCUUUCUCAUCAUUAGUAUACGUUUCGUUACGGUUUAAAUGCA
This 3160-nucleotide long non-coding RNA is filed under the name Lathyrus oleraceus (garden pea). RNAcentral's name for it is "Pisum sativum (pea) long non-coding RNA (PSAT_LNC032314)". The record is from RNAcentral. Lineage: Eukaryota; Viridiplantae; Streptophyta; Magnoliopsida; Fabales; Fabaceae.